This 460-nucleotide ribosomal RNA is filed under the name uncultured bacterium. RNAcentral describes it as "bacterial SSU rRNA". It matches the Rfam family "Bacterial small subunit ribosomal RNA", at positions 335 to 788 of the family's 1533-position model. The record is from RNAcentral.
ACUCCUACGGGAGGCAGCAGUGGGGAAUAUUGCACAAUGGGCGCAAGCCUGAUGCAGCCAUGCCGCGUGUGUGAAGAAGGCCUUCGGGUUGUAAAGCACUUUCAGUUGUGAGGAAGGUGGUGUCGUUAAUAGCGGCAUCAUUUGACGUUAGCAACAGAAGAAGCACCGGCUAACUCCGUGCCAGCAGCCGCGGUAAUACGGAGGUGCGAGCGUUAAUCGGAAUUACUGGGCGUAAAGCGCAUGCAGGUGGUUUGUUAAGUCAGAUGUGAAAGCCCGGGGCUCAACCUCGGAACUGCAUUUGAAACUGGCAGACUAGAGUACUGUAGAGGGGGGUAGAAUUUCAGGUGUAGCGGUGAAAUGCGUAGAGAUCUGAAGGAAUACCGGUGGCGAAGGCGGCCCCCUGGACAGAUACUGACACUCAGAUGCGAAAGCGUGGGGAGCAAACAGGAUUAGAUACCCU